This 75-nucleotide transfer RNA is filed under the name Gammaproteobacteria bacterium. RNAcentral's name for it is "tRNA-Glu". It matches the Rfam family "tRNA". Rfam says of the family: Transfer RNA (tRNA) molecules are approximately 80 nucleotides in length. Lineage: Bacteria; Pseudomonadati; Pseudomonadota; Gammaproteobacteria. The record is from RNAcentral.
GCUCCCUUCGUCUAGCGGUUAGGACACUGGCCUCUCACGCCGGUAACAGGGGUUCGAACCCCCUAGGGAGCGCCA